Quercus robur (English oak) is the source of this 5889-nucleotide RNA transcript. It is a transcript of the gene named callose synthase 12, with no coding region annotated. The transcript has 3 exons. The record is from RefSeq and is a predicted model, not a curated record. NCBI's taxonomy places the organism in Eukaryota, Viridiplantae, Streptophyta, Magnoliopsida, Fagales, Fagaceae.
AAAAACAAAAACCCCCCAACGCGUAAACGCGCCCAUUCCUCUUUUUUCUAUUUGCCUUUUGCAUUUCCCCCCUUUCUGUUUUUGAUUCGCUGGGCACGUUCUGCCCAUCUCUAUCUCUCUCUUCUCCAAACUAAAAACCAACCUCGAUUUUCACUAAACCCGAACACUAUGAGCUACCACCGCCAACGUCCACCUCCGAGCCCGAACCCGAGACAAACCCGGCCCAGUCCAGCCCCACCGCCAUUAGAAUCCGAUCCAUACAACAUAAUCCCCAUCCACAACCUCCUCGCGGAGCACCCGUCGCUCAGAUUCCCGGAGGUCCGAGCCAUUACCACCGCGCUCCGAGCCGUCGGCGACCUCAGGAAGCCGCCGCACAACCAAUGGGCUCCGCACAUGGACCUCCUGGACUGGCUCGCCCUCUUCUUCGGCUUCCAGAACGACAACGUUCGCAACCAGCGCGAGCACCUCGUUCUCCACCUCGCCAACGCUCAGAUGCGCCUCUCUCCUCCGCCGGACAACAUCGACGCCCUGGACGCCGCCGUUUUGCGCAAGUUUCGGAGGAAGCUCCUCAAGAACUACACCAACUGGUGCUCCUAUCUCGGCAAGAAAUCCAAUAUCUGGAUCUCCGAUCGCCGCGAGGCCGCCGCCGAUCACCGCCGGGAGCUGCUCUACGUGUCGCUCUUCCUUCUGAUUUGGGGUGAGUCUGCUAACCUCCGCUUUGUUCCUGAGUGCAUUUGCUUUAUAUUUCAUAACAUGGCCAUGGAGUUGAACAAGAUCUUAGAGGAUUACAUAGAUGAGAACACCGGCCAACCUGUGCAGCCCUCGGUCUCCGGCGAAAACGCGUUUUUGAACUGCGUUGUGAAGCCGAUUUACGAGACGAUUAGGGCUGAGGUGGAGAGUAGUAAGAAUGGCACUGCGCCGCACAGUGUGUGGCGCAAUUACGACGACAUUAACGAGUACUUUUGGAGUAAACGGUGUUUUCAGAAGCUCAGAUGGCCGAUUGAUUUAGGAAGUAAUUUCUUUGUGACGGGUGAGGGUGGCGCGAGAAGAAAACAUGUAGGGAAGACUGGUUUUGUGGAGCAGAGAUCGUUUUGGAACUUGUUUAGGAGCUUUGACAGGCUUUGGGUGAUGCUUGUGUUGUUUUUACAGGCGGCGAUUAUUGUGGCGUGGGAAGAGAGGAGAUAUCCAUGGGAAGCUCUGCAGUCUAGGGAUGUCCAAGCGAAAGUUUUGACAGUGUUUUUCACUUGGAGUGGGAUGAGGUUUUUGCAGUCUCUGCUGGAUGCAGGGAUGCAAUACAGUUUGGUUUCGAGGGAGACGAUGGGGCUUGGCGUGAGGAUGGUGAUGAAGAGUGUGGUUGCAGCCAUGUGGAUCUUGGUUUUUGGUGUGUUUUAUGGGCGGAUAUGGACGCAGAGGAAUCGCGAUAGGAGGUGGUCUGCAGAGGCUAAUAGGAGGUUGGUUACUUUUCUUGAGGUGGCAUUGGUUUUCAUUUUGCCGGAGCUUCUGGCCGUGGCGCUCUUUGUGAUUCCAUGGAUCAGGAAUUUCCUCGAGGAGACGAAUUUGAAGAUCUUUUAUAUGUUGACUUGGUGGUUUCAAGGGAGGACCUUUGUGGGUCGUGGGUUGAGGGAAGGUCUUGUGGAUAAUAUCAAGUACAGUUUGUUUUGGAUUGUGGUGCUUGCUACCAAAUUUUUGUUCAGUUACUUCUUGCAGGUUAAACCGAUGAUUGCCCCAACGAAAGCAUUGUUGGAUUUGAAGGAUGUGCAGUAUCAUUGGUAUCAGCUUUUUAACAAUAGCAACAGAUUGGCAGUGGGCUUACUGUGGAUUCCUGUUAUUCUGAUUUACCUCAUGGAUAUUCAGAUUUGGUAUUCAAUCUACUCGUCUUUUGUUGGGGCGGGUGUGGGAUUGUUUCAGCACUUGGGUGAGAUUCGAAAUAUUGAACAGUUGAGGUUGAGGUUCCAAUUCUUUGCAAGUGCUAUUCAGUUUAAUCUCAUGCCGGAGGAGCAGCUGUUAAAUGCAAGGGGGAUGAGGAACAGGUUUAAGGAUGCCUUUUAUCGAUUGAAGCUGAGAUAUGGGCUUGGUCGGCCCUAUAGGAAGCUUGAAUCUAGUCAGGUUGAGGCGAAGAGGUUUGCUUUGAUAUGGAAUGAGAUAAUUUCGAUUUUCAGGGAAGAAGACAUCAUCUCUGACCGUGAGCAGGAGCUGUUGGAGCUGCCCCAGAAUUCUUGGAAUGUCAGGGUCAUUCGAUGGCCUUGUUUCCUCCUCUGUAAUGAGCUUCUGCUUGCGCUCAGUCAGGCCAAAGAGUUGGUAGAUGCUCCUGACAAGUGGCUCUGGUAUAAGAUAUGCAAGAAUGAGUACAGGCGUUGCGCUGUGAUUGAAGCUUAUGAUUGUAUCAAACACUUGCUGCUUGAGAUUAUCAAACGCAACACAGAAGAGCAUUCCAUUAUGACCGUAUUUUUUCAAGAGAUUGAUCACUCCAUUGAGAUUGAGAGGUUCACUAAAACAUUUAACAUGACUGUUCUGCCUCAGCUUCAUACCCAGUUAAUCAAACUUGUUCAGCUAUUGAACAAGCCAAAGAAAGAUCCUACCCAGGUAGUGAACACUCUGCAAGCCAUUUAUGAGAUUGCUAAACGGGACCUUUUCAAAGACAAGAGGAGCAUUGACCAGCUGAGGGAGGAUGGUCUGGCUCCUCGUAGUCCAGCUUCCACACAGGGGCUGCUUUUUGAGAAUGCUGUUGAAUUGCCUAAUUCAGAUAAUGAGACAUUCUAUAGGCAGGUUCGGCGGUUGCACACAAUUCUUACCUCUCGGGACUCAAUGCACGAUAUCCCAGUAAAUCUUGAGGCAAGACGCCGAAUUGCCUUCUUCAGUAAUUCACUUUUCAUGAACAUGCCUCAUGCCCCUCAGGUUGAGAAAAUGAUGGCCUUCAGUGUUCUGACCCCUUAUUACAGUGAAGAAGUAAUCUAUAGCAAAGAACAACUCAAAUCUGAGAAUGAAGAUGGUAUUUCGAUCCUGUACUAUUUGCAGACAAUUUAUGCCGAUGAGUGGAAAAAUUUCAUGGAGAGAAUGCGCCGAGAAGGGAUGGUGAGGGAUACCGAGAUAUGGAAUACUAAGCUGAGAGAUCUCAGGCUUUGGGCAUCAUACAGGGGUCAGACACUCUCCCGAACUGUUAGGGGAAUGAUGUAUUACUAUCGGGCUCUUAAGAUGCUGGCAUUUCUGGAUUCUGCAUCGGAGAUGGACAUUCGGGAAGGAUCACAAGAACUUGGUUCGAUGAGGCGAGACAGCGGUUUUGAUGGUUACUCCUCGGAAAGGUCACCAUCUUCUAGGAGAUUAAGCAGAGCAAGCAGUUCAAUGGACUUGUUACUCAAAGGCCACGAGUAUGGUACUGCAUUGAUGAAAUUUACAUAUGUGGUUGCCUGCCAGAUAUAUGGAACUCAGAAGGCAAAGAAAGAUCCACAUGCCGAGGAAAUCUUGUAUCUAAUGAAAAACAAUGAAGCCCUUCGAGUUGCCUACGUUGAUGAAGUUUCCACUGGGAGGGAUGAGAAGGAGUUUUAUUCUGUUCUUGUGAAGUAUGAUCACCAAUUGGAGAGGGAAGUGGAGAUCUACAGGGUAAAGUUACCUGGUCCCUUGAAGCUUGGUGAGGGAAAACCAGAGAAUCAAAAUCAUGCCAUCAUUUUCACUCGUGGUGAUGCUGUCCAGACUAUUGAUAUGAACCAAGAAAACUAUUUUGAAGAGGCACUCAAAAUGCGCAAUCUGUUGGAAGAAUUCAGGCAUUAUUAUGGUAUCCGGAAGCCUACUAUCUUGGGAGUUAGGGAACACAUUUUUACAGGUUCUGUUUCAUCACUUGCUUGGUUUAUGUCGGCUCAGGAAACGAGUUUUGUCACCUUGGGGCAGCGUGUUUUGGCGAACCCUUUAAAAGUUCGAAUGCAUUAUGGCCAUCCAGAUGUGUUUGACAGGUUUUGGGUCAUGACUCGUGGUGGGAUCAGUAAAGCUUCCAGAGUGAUUAAUAUCAGUGAGGACAUUUUUGCUGGCUUUAACUGCACAUUGCGUGGAGGGAAUGUCACUCACCAUGAAUACAUCCAGGUCGGCAAGGGAAGGGAUGUUGGGUUGAAUCAAGUAUCCAUGUUUGAGGCCAAGGUGGCUAGUGGAAAUGGUGAGCAAGUUCUUAGCAGAGAUAUCUACAGGUUGGGUCAUAGGUUGGACUUCUUCCGAAUGCUGUCAUUCUUUUACACUACUGUGGGAUUCUUUUUCAACACAAUGGUGGUGAUUCUGACUGUAUAUGCAUUUCUGUGGGGCCGACUCUAUCUUGCUCUUAGUGGUGUUGAGGCUUCUUCUGAGGCUAGUACUAAUAACAAUGCAGCACUUGGUGCAAUCUUGAAUCAGCAGUUCAUCAUCCAGCUUGGUCUGUUCACUGCCCUUCCGAUGAUAGUGGAAAACUCUCUUGAGCAUGGGUUCCUUCAAGCUAUCUGGGAUUUUCUGACAAUGCAGCUCCAGCUUUCAUCCGUAUUCUACACGUUCUCAAUGGGAACUCGUGCCCACUACUUUGGCCGUACUAUUCUUCAUGGUGGUGCAAAAUAUCGGGCUACCGGGCGUGGUUUUGUUGUGGAACACAAGGGUUUUGCCGAGAAUUAUAGACUCUAUGCUCGUAGCCAUUUUGUGAAGGCAAUUGAACUUGGGUUAAUACUUGUAGUUUAUGCAUCACACAGUCCUAUAGCUGGCAACACAUUUGUUUACAUAGCCUUGACCAUCACUAGUUGGUUCCUGGUUGUGUCAUGGAUUAUGGCCCCCUUUGUGUUCAAUCCUUCUGGAUUUGAUUGGUUGAAGACAGUUUAUGACUUUGAUGACUUUAUGAACUGGAUUUGGUUCCGUGGCAGUGUUUUUGCAAAAGCUGAACAGAGUUGGGAAAGAUGGUGGUAUGAGGAGCAAGAUCAUCUCAGGAACACUGGCAUUUGGGGUAAAAUAAUGGAAAUAAUCUUAGACCUCCGAUUCUUCUUCUUCCAGUAUGGGGUAGUAUAUCAACUAGAUAUUGCAGCUGGAAGUACCAGCAUUGCUGUUUACUUGUUGUCUUGGAUCUAUGUAUUUGUGGCUUUUGCGAUUUAUGCGGUAAUAGCAUUUGCUCGGGAUAAAUAUGCGGCAAAAGAGCACAUAUACUAUCGUCUAGUCCAAUUCCUUGUGAUUAUACUUGCAAUACUUGUGACAAUUGCUCUGCUGCAAUUUACGGCUUUCACAUUUAUUGAUAUUUUCACUAGCAUGUUAGCAUUCAUCCCCACUGGGUGGGGCCUGAUAUUGAUUGCCCAAGUACUCCGGCCCUUUCUGCCUACUCUUGUUUGGGAAAGCGUUGUUUCUGUGGCUCGACUAUAUGAUAUAGUGUUCGGAGUAAUUGUCAUGGCUCCUGUGGCAUUACUGUCAUGGUUGCCUGGGUUUCAGUCAAUGCAGACAAGGAUCCUUUUCAAUGAAGCAUUUAGUAGGGGCCUCCGCAUUAACCAGCUUGUUGCAGGAAAAAAAUCCAAUGACUUAUAAUUUGAGGUUUGAUUUUAGCACGAGGUGUAGAGAAACAAUAGAAUUGGAGAAGAUUGAUUUGUUUUUGCUUUGUGGAGGUUCUUAUGUGCACGUCAGAGUGGACUUCCAUUUUAUUUCAUUUCAAUCUCAGUCAGGAGGUAAAGGACAAUACCAUGUGAUGCUUUAUUGCAGGCUUCAUUUUACCUUUAGUAAUGUAAUUAGUUAAAAUUUCUCAUAUUUGAUCUGAUAUUUGGUCGGGGGGCUCUUAUUUAUAUUUGCUCAACUUCCCACUUCCCCCAUAUUUCUGAAGGUACAGCUCUUGGCAUAGUGUUUAUACAGAGUACAGAGAAUAGUGUGGUUUUGCUCAGAUUUUUAGAGUAUUUAUUAUUCUUUUGUCAGAAA